GACGAACGCUGGCGGCGUGCUUAACACAUGCAAGUCGAACGGAAAGGCCUGCUUUCCCUUGUGGUUUGCGGGUACUCGAGUGGCGAACGGGUGAGUAACACGUGAGUGAUCUGCCCCCAACUUGGGUAUAAGCCUGGGAAACUGGGUCUAAUUCCCGAUAGGACUGCAGGGUGGUGCCUGUGGUGGAAAACGAUUUUCUAGUGGUUGGGGAUGAGCUCGCGGCCUAUCAGCUUGUUGGUGGGGUAAUGGCCUACCAAGGCGGCGACGGGUAGCCGGCCUGAGGGGGUGGACGGCCACAUUGGGACUGAGAUACGGCCCAGACUCCUACGGGAGGCAGCAGUGGGGAAUAUUGCACAAUGGGCGGAAGCCUGAUGCAGCGACGCCGCGUGGGGGAUGACGGCCUUCGGGUUGUAAACUCCUUUCGACCGCGAGGAAGCCACCUGGUUGGAAGGGUGGUGACGGUAGUGGUAGAAGAAGCACCGGCUAACUACGUG
RNAcentral lists this ribosomal RNA (494 nucleotides) under uncultured bacterium. RNAcentral describes it as "partial 16S ribosomal RNA". It matches the Rfam family "Bacterial small subunit ribosomal RNA", at positions 28 to 507 of the family's 1533-position model. The record is from RNAcentral.